AUGGCAUGGUGAGGACAAUCGGCACAAAACUUUUUGAAUCUUUGCCAAACUUGGUAAAAAUUCUCAUCUUUGCGUUGUUGAAAGUCAGCAAUCCUUUGUCUUCCUUU
RNAcentral lists this small nucleolar RNA (107 nucleotides) under Corchorus capsularis. RNAcentral's name for it is "Plant small nucleolar RNA R71". It matches the Rfam family "Plant small nucleolar RNA R71". Rfam says of the family: R71 is a member of the C/D box family of snoRNAs containing the C (UGAUGA) and D (CUGA) box motifs. Multiple nearly identical copies of this snoRNA have been identified in Arabidopsis, and it is thought to function as a 2'-O-ribose methylation guide for 18S ribosomal RNA. Lineage: Eukaryota; Viridiplantae; Streptophyta; Magnoliopsida; Malvales; Malvaceae. The record is from Rfam by way of RNAcentral.